UUGGAUACAUUAAGAGGCUAUGUACUACAUUGCAAAGUGCAUAGGAAUGAGCCCCGUUGUCUUUUUAAAUGUGUUGGCGCCAACUGUAGUCAAACAUUUACCACAUACUCCGCUUUCAAGGGCCAUUUUUAUCGUGUGCACAAUGCACCGGAAGCUGCUCCUAUAGCUGUUCUUGCGGAUUUAAAAUGCGCAGUUUCAUUAUGUGCCCGCCGUUUUCACACGGUGAAAGAGCUUGUGUCUCACUUAAAUGAUCAUAUUGGAGAGGGCAGGUCUGUUUCAUGUCCAGUAAGUGGGUGUAAACACGUGUUUACAAAAAAGUCGUCAUUUACUUCCCUCAUGUGUAGAAAGCAUAAAGCAUGCUCCCCAGAUGGUAUCGAUAACAUGUACAGGGAAACUCGCCCUCAGCCCCCAGAUGUCAUUGCCAGUACAGAUGAUUCAGAAAACACACAUGAAGCCAUGCCAACAGCUAGUGCAGCCAGUGAUAUGCCAGAGAAUGAUAGUCAGUCUUAUGUCAGAAACCUGUGUCUCUUUUACCUUAAACUGCAAGGACAGCUGCUAAUUCCUGCCUCAACUAUACAGACUAUUGUUGAGGAAAUGCAGAAUGUGCACGAGUUAGGUCAAGCCUAUACAAUAACUAGAGUAAGUUUUUUAACAAAUGAUAUGAGCCUAUCAGAUGAAGCAGUCUCUAAAAUCUGUGACUCCAUUAAAGAGUCAGAUUUGUUCUCUGCCUGUCAUCAGGGUCAAUUAAGAACUACAUACUCUAGAAAUCAGACAUUCACAAAAAUGUUUAAUUACACAGAACCCCAAAAAGUGGCACUGGGAAUGGAUGAAAACAUGACACCAAAAUUUGCUUACUACAUACCAGUAGCAGAAACUCUGAAGAGCUUUUUACAGUCACAUUUAGGGAGGAAUACACAGUCACAACAGUUUGGAGAUCCUGAUGUAGAGGUUUUUACGGAUUUAUAUGAUGGACAAAAUUUCAAAUGUCACCAGUUCUUCAGUGAAAACCCUGAAAGCCUCAAACUGAUUUUGUACCAAGAUUCAUUUGAAAUUGUGAAUCCCCUGGGUUCUGCUAAAAAGAUGCACAAAGUUCUUGCAGUCUAUAUUUCAUUAGCAAAUUUACCCAUUCAUUUGCGUUCAAAUACUGAUAAUAUGUUUUUAGUCUUCUUGUGUGUUGAGGAUGAACUUAGGCGUUUUGGAGUAGCCAAAGUUUUCUCAGAGUUGUUGGAAGAUCUGAAAUCCUUGGAGACAGAUGGAAUAAAUGUAGAUGGACAAACAGUAAAAGGGGGUCUUUACUGCAUUGCUGGGGAUAACUUGGGUUCUCAUUGCAUAGGUGGGUUUACAGAGAACUUCAGCCGCUCUCAAUAUUUUUGCAGGUACUGUGAAAUCACAAGAAGUGAGUUUGUGGCUGAUCCGAAUGUCUGUGGACCUUUACGCACCCCAGAGACGUAUGACGCAGCUGUUGCUGAUCUCCAGGCUGAAAACAUCCAAGGCGUCAGAGGGAUAAAGGUGCCAUUUUCUCUUUAGUGCAAAUAUAACUGACUCAGAGCGAACCUUCCUAGAUGUCGCCAUCAUGGAAGUCCUACCACAACUUCAAGCAGUAAACAAAAACAUCCUGGAAGAGCACUUGCAGUCCAUUGGAGUCGAGACGUAUGAUGAUCUACGCUUCGUAACGGAGGCUGAUUUGAUGACAGCAUUAAGACCUGUAGAAGCCAGAAAGCUUCUUUCUGCUUGGAAACGGAAAUACCACACUCCCGAGAAGAGUUCACUAUCAUCUGUGGAAGCCUCACCUACCCAAUCGCUGCCAACGCUCUCUGUUUCACCCCAAAGUUCAUCGUCAAGCUUCUCUAGCAGCCCAGGACUUGACACACAGUGGGACGUCAACUUUGAAAUUCCAUGGAGUAAAUUUCCUGAGGAAGUGAUGCAGGCUUUAGAGAGGGGAAAAAGGCCUGGCCCAAAACUAAGGAGGCAAAUGGUCCGGAUUGUUGUGACUGAGAUGAUGCAAAAAUGCCCUCUUGUAGGUAAAAAGCAUUCAACUGACGUUGCAACAAAAAUGGUGGCAAAAUAUCGCAGUUCUCUCCAAGAUGUAAUAGAGGGUGAUAUUGUUGGAACAGGCUACCAUUCCCUUGUCAAACAGUUGCAAAACAGAAUUGAAAAUGUGAGGCGCACUUCAACACCCAAAAUAAGAAAAAGAAAACAUCAGACCGAUGACUCGGACCAAACAGACGAGAUCCCAUUAGAAGAUAGAGCAGCAAUGCAGGACACUUAUGGGUGCAUUAAAUGGAAUGUAAAAUUUCUGCCCCUUGAAGAAACUCAAGAGAGCCAGCAGCAAAAGAUGGAAAAACUCAAGGUGAUGUUCCAACACUUUGAUGCCAAUCCAGUGGAGGUAAAAUGUUUAAUGAAGUCCACAUUUUACACACAGCGUCAACAUGUCAACCAGGGAAAAAGUAUCAAAUGCCUUAGAGAGGAUUGGCCGUUUUGGUUUGAUGAACUUGGCAUGUCAGUCCACUUUAUGGAACUCACUGGGAUUGACCUCAAAGAGACAUUCACAUGAAAUUUGGAUUUGAAAGGAAAAAGGCUUCUCGACUACUUGACCACAGUUUGUGUCAACAAGAGCAAGAAAUUCCUUCAGAAUUAUGCAAGG
Puntigrus tetrazona (Sumatra barb) is the source of this 2644-nucleotide RNA transcript. RefSeq lists it as uncharacterized. The transcript is spliced from 3 exons. The record is from RefSeq and is a predicted model, not a curated record. Lineage: Eukaryota; Metazoa; Chordata; Actinopteri; Cypriniformes; Cyprinidae.